AACGUAGGACGCAAGCGUUAUCCGGAUUUACUGGGCGUAAAGCGCGGGCAGGCGGCUUCGCAAGUUCGAUGUGAAAUCUCUCAGCUCAACUGGGAGCAGCCAUUGGAAACUACGGAGCUGGAGUCUGGCAGAGGUAGGCGGAAUUCCGGGUGGAGUGGUGAAAUGCGUAGAGAUCCGGAGGAACACCAGAGGCGAAGGCGGCCUACUGGGCCAGUACUGACGCUGAGCCGCGAAAGCCAGGGGAGCGAACGGG
This 253-nucleotide ribosomal RNA is filed under the name uncultured bacterium. Its description in RNAcentral is "partial 16S ribosomal RNA". It matches the Rfam family "Bacterial small subunit ribosomal RNA", at positions 524 to 776 of the family's 1533-position model. The record is from RNAcentral.